Molecule: ribosomal RNA, 253 nt
Filed under: uncultured bacterium
Lineage: Bacteria
Description: partial 16S ribosomal RNA
Rfam family: Bacterial small subunit ribosomal RNA
Source: RNAcentral
UACGUAGGUGGCGAGCGUUGUCCGGAAUUACUGGGCGUAAAGGGUGCGUAGGCGGGAUAUUAAGUUAGAUGUGAAAACCCUGAGCUUAACUUGGGGACUGCAUUUAAAACUGGUAACCUAGAGUGCAGGAGAGGUAAGCGGAAUUCCUAGUGUAGCGGUGAAAUGCGUAGAUAUUAGGAAGAACAUCAGUGGCGAAGGCGGCUUACUGGACUGUAACUGACGCUGAUGCACGAAAGCGUGGGGAGCAAACAGG